This is a non-coding RNA of Peromyscus maniculatus bairdii (prairie deer mouse), 493 nucleotides long. The record is from RefSeq and is a predicted model, not a curated record. NCBI's taxonomy places the organism in Eukaryota, Metazoa, Chordata, Mammalia, Rodentia, Cricetidae.
CUUCCUGAAGGAAAAGUCAUUUAAAGGACCAUUACGGAAAUGACAAACUGGGAUCCAGAAACAAACUCGUAAGAGAAACGGGAGAUCAGCAGCUGCGGUGGGGCGGAGGAGGCCAUUUCAUCACAGGGCACUGGUUCAAUGUUAUGCCUUGGCGUGAUUUGAGCUUCUCACAUCUAGGUGAGAGGAAACAUGAGAUUCCUGGACACAUGGCUGGUGCUCCUUUAACUGCUAUCGCCAUUGGAUCAGAGGAAAUAAGGCUGCUGAAAUGACUGAGAAGACUAACUGAAGAGGAAAUCUACUCUGCAUGUGUGUGGCAUCAUCCCAUGGAUUGGAUUCUCAGGCUGAAUACAAAGGAGAAAUUCAGCAGAGUUCUGAUAUUUUCCUUCCUGUGAGUCUUGUUCUAGUGGGAUGUGAAUAAGCAGCCAAACACUCUCAUAGCCUUGAUGUCCCCCGAAACCGUGUUUUCUCCACCAUCAUUGAUAUGGGUCACAGC